GUUGAGCCCAUGUAAAUUGAAUAAUCAGCCCUUGUUUAGCCAAAAAAUCCAGCAUGUGUCCAAAGAAAAAAAAUUUGUGGUAGCCUAAUUCUAACAUAAUAAGUAAAUGGCCCAACUCUAAUUAUUUGGCCCAAACAAACCACCAGGUCCACCAUUCAUUUAAACCUAAAAUUAAUCCAAUGCAUUUAAUUCUUCCCUCACAUACCAGGUCCACCAUUCAAACGAGUAAAGGGCAAAAGGCGAUUCCUCUGUCCGACUAUCUCCAUUUCUUUUCAAUCCAUAAUUUAUAUAAAAUUAAGGGACCCAUUACCCAAAUCAAAGAUUUCAUCUCUUAAAAGUGUAUGUUAGCGGGACAAUCUGACAAGACAACAUCAGUAGGAAAAGUUUAUCCAAGACCCACAUCUCUAUACUUCAAUUUCAUUUCAAUUUUAAUAGCAUUCCAUUCACGAUUUCAAUCGCCUACAACUCAAUAAUGAGAAAAUAUCAAAUAUGUUGCGCCAAUUCCUUUGUCAAAAGCUGUUCUCCUAGCCUCCAGAAAUGAGUGUACCUCAUAAUUUCAUAUUUGAAUACAUGCCCCAGUUUAUUUUUACCACUUACUGCAUUUCUGUGAUUGUCAAAGGUUCAUGUGUCAAAAGUAUGGUAAGAAUUUAAAAUAAAAAGGGUGAAAUAAAUAAAUUAUCAAUAGUAAAAAGCUUUAAACGAUUCCAUAACAAUGAUUCAAUUUUCACAUUCCAAAUAAACAAUAGAGAGUGUUGGGUUUUUAAUACCCAAUAAAUCCCGAGUUAUGAUGUUAACGUGGGUCAAUAUUAUUUCAUAGGCAUAGGCCGAUAAAUGAAAUAAGUUCAACAACCAAGUCCAUAAACUACACCCAGCUCAAUUGUAUUCCUUAUGGAUGGCUUGAAUCUUGGCUCGUUUGCCCCUUUAAUGGCCCAACUUAAAGCCUAAUCUUAGAUUAUAUAUAACCCUAGCCACAUUCUAAUGAUGAGUGUGUGAUUUUGAGAGAAGAAAAAGUGAAUCCCGGCUGUCCCCUUUGUGUGAGAAAAAAGGUGUCCAAAAGUGUCCAGAACGCUUGUAUAACGUGUGCAAUUGGUGGUUCUUUCAUAGUUUACCCUUGUGAUGUCUUCUCUUAGCCUUUGUGGUGAUAAAUCAUCAUCAUUUCUUGUCCUACGUGGGUAAGAUUAAAUAGCAACCAAGGUGAAUCAAUUGAUUGUGGUUUGAAGCCGAUUGGACUGGUUAUUGGUUGAGAAAAGUGCGUUGGACUAAGCCCGAAAAUCACCGAUUUGAAGAUCUUUCAAGAGAGCUUCCACAACAAUUUGGUGUCAGAGCUUCAAGGUGGUGAUUUUGGCUCUUGAAACAUACAAAAAACGUCCAGAAAUUGCAGAAAAAUCAGAUCGAAGAAGCUGUCCAAAAACUGUCAAAAUCAGUCUCCGUUUUUCGCAUUUUCUGAUCAAUCCAGAAGGAGUUUGGGGAAACGGAGACCACUGACAUGACGUGCAAGAGGAGGCGAACCUUGUAGGUCGGCACGUGUCGGUCGACGAUGACGC
This 1544-nucleotide long non-coding RNA is filed under the name Olea europaea subsp. europaea. Lineage: Eukaryota; Viridiplantae; Streptophyta; Magnoliopsida; Lamiales; Oleaceae. The record is from RNAcentral.